Molecule: microRNA, 24 nt
Filed under: Lingula anatina
Lineage: Eukaryota; Metazoa; Brachiopoda; Lingulata; Lingulida; Lingulidae
Description: Lan-Mir-277-P3_5p* (star (passenger))
Source: RNAcentral
AAUAUACCAGUAGUGCAUCCUACA